Molecule: ribosomal RNA, 409 nt
Filed under: uncultured organism
Description: bacterial LSU rRNA
Rfam family: Bacterial large subunit ribosomal RNA
Source: RNAcentral
GGACAGAAAGACCCUAUGAAGCUUUACUGUAGUUUGGAAUUGGGUUCGGGCUCUUCUUGCGCAGCCUAGGUGGGAGGCUAUGAAGAUAAACUUUUGGGUUUAUUGGAGCCAACAGUGAGAGACCACUCUAGAGGAGCUAGAAUUCUAAUGGCGUUCCUUGAAGCAGGACGCUUGACAGUUUCAGAUGGGCAGUUUGACUGGGGCGGUCACCUCCUAAAAGGUAACGGAGGUGUGCAAAGGUUCCCUCAGGCUGGACGGAAAUCAGCCGUAGAGUGUAAAGGCAGUAGGGAGCUUGACUGCAAGACCUACAAGUCGAGCAGGGGCGAAAGCCGGCCUUAGUGAUCCGACGGUUCCGAGUGGAAGGGCCGUCGCUAAACGGAUAAAAGUUACUCUAGGGAUAACAGGCUGA